RNAcentral lists this ribosomal RNA (1161 nucleotides) under uncultured bacterium. Its description in RNAcentral is "bacterial SSU rRNA". It matches the Rfam family "Bacterial small subunit ribosomal RNA", at positions 252 to 1429 of the family's 1533-position model. The record is from RNAcentral.
GUGGGGUAAAGGCCUACCAAGGCAUCGAUCAGUAGCUGGUCUGAGAGGAUGAUCAGCCACACUGGGACUGAGACACGGCCCAGACUCCUACGGGAGGCAGCAGUGGGGAAUUUUCCGCAAUGGGCGAAAGCCUGACGGAGCAACGCCGCGUGAGGGAUGAAGGCCUCUGGGCUGUAAACCUCUUUUAUCAAGGAAGAAGAUCUGACGGUACUUGAUGAAUAAGCCACGGCUAAUUCCGUGCCAGCAGCCGCGGUAAUACGGGAGUGGCAAGCGUUAUCCGGAAUUAUUGGGCGUAAAGCGUCCGCAGGCGGCCUGAUAAGUCUGUUGUCAAAGCGUGGAGCUUAACUCCAUUUCGGCAAUGGAAACUGUGAGGCUUGAGUGUGGUAGGGGCAGAGGGAAUUCCCGGUGUAGCGGUGAAAUGCGUAGAUAUCGGGAAGAACACCAGUGGCGAAGGCGCUCUGCUGGGCCAUAACUGACGCUCAUGGACGAAAGCCAGGGGAGCGAAAGGGAUUAGAUACCCCUGUAGUCCUGGCCGUAAACGAUGAACACUAGGUGUCGGGGGAAUCGACCCCCUCGGUGUCGUAGCCAACGCGUUAAGUGUUCCGCCUGGGGAGUACGCACGCAAGUGUGAAACUCAAAGGAAUUGACGGGGGCCCGCACAAGCGGUGGAGUAUGUGGUUUAAUUCGAUGCAACGCGAAGAACCUUACCAGGGUUUGGCAUCCUGCGAAUCCCUUGGAAACUUGGGAGUGCCUUCGGGAGCGCAGAGACAGGUGGUGCAUGGCUGUCGUCAGCUCGUGUCGUGAGAUGUUGGGUUAAGUCCCGCAACGAGCGCAACCCACGUCUUUAGUUGCCAGCAUUCAGUUGGGCACUCUAGAGAGACCGCCGGUGAUAAACCGGAGGAAGGUGUGGAUGACGUCAAGUCAUCAUGCCCCUUACAUCCUGGGCUACACACGUACUACAAUGCUACGGACAAAGGGCAGCAAACUCGCGAGAGCUAGCAAAUCCCAUAAACCGUGGCUCAGUUCAGAUCGUAGGCUGCAACUCGCCUACGUGAAGGAGGAAUCGCUAGUAAUCGCAGGUCAGCAUACUGCGGUGAAUACGUUCCCGGGCCUUGUACACACCGCCCGUCACACCAUGGAAGUUGGCCACGCCCGAAGCCG